This 74-nucleotide transfer RNA is filed under the name Streptococcus pneumoniae GA47760. RNAcentral describes it as "tRNA-Thr". It matches the Rfam family "tRNA". From Rfam's summary of the family: Transfer RNA (tRNA) molecules are approximately 80 nucleotides in length. Their secondary structure includes four short double-helical elements and three loops (D, anti-codon, and T loops). Further hydrogen bonds mediate the characteristic L-shaped molecular structure. tRNAs have two regions of fundamental functional importance: the anti-codon, which is responsible for specific mRNA codon recognition, and the 3' end, to which the tRNAs corresponding amino acid is attached (by aminoacyl-tRNA synthetases). tRNAs cope with the degeneracy of the genetic code in two manners: having more than one tRNA (with a specific anti-codon) for a particular amino acid; and 'wobble' base-pairing, i.e. permitting non-standard base-pairing at the 3rd anti-codon position. Lineage: Bacteria; Bacillati; Bacillota; Bacilli; Lactobacillales; Streptococcaceae. The record is from RNAcentral.
GCCGGCUUAGCUCAGUUGGUAGAAGCAUCUGAUUUGUAAUCAGAGGGUCGCGUGUUCAAGUCAUGUAGCCGGCA